UACGGAGGGUGCAAGCGUUAUCCGGAUUCACUGGGUUUAAAGGGUGCGUAGGCGGGCAGGUAAGUCAGUGGUGAAAUCUCCGAGCUUAACUCGGAAACUGCCUUUGAUACUAUCUGUCUUGAAUAUUGUGGAGGUAAGCGGAAUAUGUCAUGUAGCGGUGAAAUGCUUAGAGAUGACAUAGAACACCUAUUGCGAAGGCAGCUUACUACGCAUAUAUUGACGCUGAGGCACGAAAGCGUGGGGAUCAAACAGG
This 253-nucleotide ribosomal RNA is filed under the name uncultured bacterium. RNAcentral describes it as "partial 16S ribosomal RNA". It matches the Rfam family "Bacterial small subunit ribosomal RNA", at positions 524 to 776 of the family's 1533-position model. The record is from RNAcentral.